Molecule: ribosomal RNA, 168 nt
Filed under: Triticum aestivum (bread wheat)
Lineage: Eukaryota; Viridiplantae; Streptophyta; Magnoliopsida; Poales; Poaceae
Description: partial small subunit ribosomal RNA
Source: RNAcentral
AAAUUUGGGUAUAGAUGGAAAGUUGGCAAUGGGAAGAGGGUCAGGUUCUGGGAGGACACCUGGUUUGUGUCCUCCCCACUAGCUACCCAAUUCUGGCCGAUCUACUUAGUCUGUAAUGAACAAACUAAGACUAUCAAAGAAGUCUGGGAUGGGGAAACCCUUAAGCUA